GUGGGGAAUCUUCCGCAAUGGACGAAAGUCUGACGGAGCAACGCCGCGUGAGUGAAGAAGGUUUUCGGAUCGUAAAGCUCUUUCGUUAGGGACGAACGUGCUCUUUGUGAAUAAUGAGGAGUAAUGACGGUACCUAAAUAAGAAGCCACGGCUAACUACGUGCCAGCAGCCGCGGUAAUACGUAGGUGGCAAUCGUUGUCCGGAAUUAUUGGGCGUAAAGCGCGCGCAGGCGGGAUAUCAAGUCUGUCUUAAAAGUGCGAGGCUCAACCUCGUGAGGGGACAGAAACUGGUAUUCUUGAGUGUCGGAGAGGAAAGUGGAAUUCCAAGUGUAGCGGUGAAAUGCGUAGAGAUUUGGAAGAACACCAGUGGCGAAGGCGACUUUCUGGACGAUGUCUGACGCUGAGGCGCGAAAGCUAGGGGAGCGAACGGGAUUAGAAACCCGUGUAGUCC
Molecule: ribosomal RNA, 450 nt
Filed under: uncultured bacterium
Lineage: Bacteria
Description: partial 16S ribosomal RNA
Rfam family: Bacterial small subunit ribosomal RNA
Source: RNAcentral